UCUAGAUCCAACGGACCAAAA
RNAcentral lists this microRNA (21 nucleotides) under Zea mays. RNAcentral describes it as "miRt31". Lineage: Eukaryota; Viridiplantae; Streptophyta; Magnoliopsida; Poales; Poaceae. The record is from RNAcentral.